AGUGUAGUAUCUGUUCUUAUCAGU
This 24-nucleotide non-coding RNA is filed under the name Gallus gallus (chicken). RNAcentral also lists the same sequence under 3 other names. Lineage: Eukaryota; Metazoa; Chordata; Aves; Galliformes; Phasianidae. The record is from RNAcentral.